CAAUAGCGUAUAUUAAAGUUGUUGCGGUAAAAAAGUUCGUAGUUGGAUUUCUGUUGAGAGCGACCGGUCCAUACCAUGUAUGCGUAUCUGGCUUGCUCUCGGCAUCCUCUCGAUAGACGUUACUGCGCUUGAUUGCGUGGUGCGGAUCUCGGGACUUUUACUUUGAGGAAAUUAGAGUGUUCACGGCAGGCUUUCGCCAGAAUACAUUAGCAUGGAAUAAUACUAUAGGAUCUUGGUUCUAUUUUGUUGGUUUCUAGAAUUGAGAUAAUGAUUAAUAGGGACAAUUGGGGGCAUUCGUAUCAACACGUCAGAGGUGGAAUUCUUGGAUUGUGUUGCGACGAACUACUGCGAAAGCAUUUGCCAAGGAUGUUUUCAUUGA
RNAcentral lists this ribosomal RNA (379 nucleotides) under uncultured eukaryote. Its description in RNAcentral is "partial 18S ribosomal RNA". It matches the Rfam family "Eukaryotic small subunit ribosomal RNA", at positions 592 to 976 of the family's 1831-position model. The record is from RNAcentral.